GCCUGGCUGGCUCAGUUGGUAGAGCAUGAGACUCCUGAUCUCAGGGUCAUGAGUUCAAGCCCCACCCAUGUUGGGCA
Hyaena hyaena (striped hyena) is the source of this 77-nucleotide non-coding RNA. The record is from the annotation of a RefSeq genome assembly. NCBI's taxonomy places the organism in Eukaryota, Metazoa, Chordata, Mammalia, Carnivora, Hyaenidae.